GAUGAACGCUGGCGGCGUGCCUAAUACAUGCAAGUCGAGCGAACGGACGAGAAGCUUGCUUCUCUGAUGUUAGCGGCGGACGGGUGAGUAACACGUGGAUAACCUACCUAUAAGACUGGGAUAACUUCGGGAAACCGGAGCUAAUACCGGAUAAUAUUUUGAACCGCAUGGUUCAAAAGUGAAAGACGGUCUUGCUGUCACUUAUAGAUGGAUCCGCGCUGCAUUAGCUAGUUGGUAAGGUAACGGCUUACCAAGGCAACGAUGCAUAGCCGACCUGAGAGGGUGAGCGGCCACACUGGAACUGAGACACGGUCCAGACUCCUACGGGAGGCAGCAGUAGGGAAUCUUCCGCAAUGGGCGAAAGCCUGACCGAGCAACGCCGCGUGAGUGAUGAAGGUCUUCGGAUCGUAAAACUCUGUUAUUAGGGAAGAACAUAUGUGUAAGUAACUGUGCACAUCUUGACGGUACCUAAUCAGAAAGCCACGGCUAACUACGUGC
Molecule: ribosomal RNA, 498 nt
Filed under: uncultured bacterium
Lineage: Bacteria
Description: partial 16S ribosomal RNA
Rfam family: Bacterial small subunit ribosomal RNA
Source: RNAcentral